CUGCUGCCUUCCGUAGGAGUCUGGGCCGUAUCUCAGUCCCAAUGUGGCCGUUCAACCUCUCAGUCCGGCUACUGAUCGUCGACUUGGUAGGCCGUUACCCCACCAACUAUCUAAUCAGACGCAAGCCCAUCUAUCAGCGGAUUGCUCCUUUCCCAUUUAUAUCAUGUGAUAUUCAUGGCAUAUGCGGUAUUAGCAGUCAUUUCUAACUGUUGUUCCCCUCUGAUAGGCAGGUUG
This 234-nucleotide ribosomal RNA is filed under the name uncultured bacterium. RNAcentral's name for it is "partial 16S ribosomal RNA". The record is from RNAcentral.